RNAcentral lists this ribosomal RNA (489 nucleotides) under uncultured bacterium. RNAcentral's name for it is "partial 16S ribosomal RNA". It matches the Rfam family "Bacterial small subunit ribosomal RNA", at positions 29 to 507 of the family's 1533-position model. The record is from RNAcentral.
GUGAACGCUGGCGGCAGGCCUAACCCCUGCAAGUCGAACGGCAGCACCAGAGAGCUUGCUCUCUGGGUGGCGAGUGGCGGUCGGGUGAGGAAUGCAUCGGAAUCUGCCCAUUUGUGGGGGAUAACCUCGGGAAACCGGGACUAAUACCGCAUACGACCUACGGGUGAAAGCAGGGGACCUUCGGACCUUGCGCAGAUGGAUGAGCCGAUGCCGGAUUAGCUAGUUGGAGGGGUAAAGGCCCACCAAGGCGACGAUCCGUAGCUGGUCUGAGAGGAUGAUCAGCCACACUGGGACUGAGACACGGCCCAGACUCCUACGGGAGGCAGCAGUGGGGAAUAUUGGACAAUGGGCGCAAGCCUGAUCCAGCCAUGCCGCGUGUGUGAAGAAGGCCUUCGGGUUGUAAAGCACUUUUGUUGGGAAAGAAAAGCAGCCGGUUAAUACCCGGUUGUCAUGACGGUACCCAAAGAAUAAGCACCGGCUAACUUCGUG